Molecule: RNase P RNA, 444 nt
Filed under: bacterium
Lineage: Bacteria
Description: RNase P RNA component class A
Rfam family: Bacterial RNase P class A
About the family: Ribonuclease P (RNase P) is a ubiquitous endoribonuclease, found in archaea, bacteria and eukarya as well as chloroplasts and mitochondria.
Source: RNAcentral
UUGGAUUAUACGGUAGUCGCUCGCCGAAGAGGCGAGAGGAAAGUCCGGACACCCCUCCGACUCCGCCAGCUGGCGGAGGUUAGAGAACGUUGAUAGUCGCGAAAUGCGACCAGGAAGAGUGAAGGAACUGUAAUAGCUAUUGUUUCUUCGCAAAGCCUCGGGAAAGUUUCUUCGCAAGAAGAAGUAUCCUGACAAAUGGAAACAUUUGUCGAGGAACGUAACAGAAACAUACCGCCACGUAUCGCAAGGUGCGGGGUAAGGGUUAAAUCGUGUGGUAAGAGCACACGCGUGGCCGUGGUGACACGAUCGCGGGACAAACACCUAUCGGGUGCAAGACGAAAUACCGUCGCAUGAGUCUCUGUAGCAAUACAGGACCAAGAGAGAUGACUACCCCGUCUGAGCAAUCAGGCGCGACAGAAUCCGGCUUAUGUAUCGUCCAAGGAC